CCUACGGGUGGCAGCAGUGGGGAAUAUUGCACAAUGGGGGAAACCCUGAUGCAGCGACGCCGCGUGAGUGAAGAAGGUUUUCGGAUUGUAAACUUCUUUUGUUAGAGAAGAUAAUGACGGUAUCUAACGAAUAAGCACCGGCUAACUCCGUGCCAGCAGCCGCGGUAAUACGGAGGGGGCAAGCGUUAUUCGGAUUGACUGGGCGUAAAGAGCGCGUAGACGGGAUAGCAAGUCAGAUGUGAAAUCCUAUGGCUUAACCAUAGAACUGCAUUUGAAACUGUUAUUCUAGAGUAUGGGAGAGGUAGGUGGAAUUCUUGGUGUAGGGGUAAAAUCCGUAGAGAUUAAGAGGAAUACCCGUGGCGAAGGCGACCUGCUAGAACAUAACUGACGCUGAUGCGCGAAAGCGUGGGGAGCAAACAGGAUUAGAUACCCUAGUAGUC
Molecule: ribosomal RNA, 440 nt
Filed under: uncultured bacterium
Lineage: Bacteria
Description: partial 16S ribosomal RNA
Rfam family: Bacterial small subunit ribosomal RNA
Source: RNAcentral